RNAcentral lists this ribosomal RNA (165 nucleotides) under uncultured bacterium. Its description in RNAcentral is "partial 16S rRNA". It matches the Rfam family "Bacterial small subunit ribosomal RNA", at positions 355 to 511 of the family's 1533-position model. The record is from RNAcentral.
UAGGGAAUCUUCGGCAAUGGGGGCAACCCUGACCGAGCAACACCGCGUGAGUGAAGAAGGUUUUCGGAUCGUAAAGCUCUGUUGUAAGAGAAGAACGUGUGUGAGAGUGGAAAGUUCACACAGUGACGGUAACUUACCAGAAAGGGACGGCUAACUACGCGCCAG